Molecule: long non-coding RNA, 3924 nt
Filed under: Megachile rotundata (alfalfa leafcutting bee)
Lineage: Eukaryota; Metazoa; Arthropoda; Insecta; Hymenoptera; Megachilidae
Description: uncharacterized LOC105663732
Source: RNAcentral
AAACGCUAUUUCUGACAUUUGACGAUAGCCGAUACGGAACAUUUUUGUUUUCCUCCGUCACUCGAUUGCUCCGGCUUUUUCUUUCUUAUUAUCUUUCCUCCUCGUAACGUCCCCACCCUGAUUCGAUGCUACUUCGCUUUUUCUGCCCCUCUUGCCCCUCUACAAUCACGAUUGCUUCUGCUCGCUCGUGUGCACAGUGCUCUCUCGCUCGCUCGUUCGUUCGUUCGGCUCCUCUCGAGUGCCGUCUCUCCUCGACGAUUCUUAGUUCCCAUAAUGAACCGUACGACGUGGUUCGUGGUUAAGAGCAAACGGACGUACCAGUUUUCCCCUCUCAUUAACGAUGGUUUUCGAGGAACUUGACCUUUUAAAGUUUAAAGACUCGAAACAAAACCGUCGCUAAAAUUUACUUUGUAACGUUAUUUCACCGGCAAUUUUACGUAUUUUUCGCGACAAUUCCUAACCUGUUUCCGACGUUACGGUGUCUCUCGGGAAGCGAGAAGCGCUCAACUACACCGAUAUCGUUUACAUACACAAUAGCGAUAUCAAAGUUUAUGAACAAACGCGUCUAAUCGAUAUUUUCUCUCUACGCGAUCAUGUACAGAGAUCUCUUUUUCAGAUUUUUAAAAGUUCUUGCAUAACGGUGAGCUAACGAUGCAACCAAACGAUUGCUCGCGUUCAAGUAUUUUCUGUCGAAACCAGUAUCGACGAAACAUCUUCCUGUUAUCGUCGAUGCGCGUUCGAUUCCAGUCGAUCCAAAUCGGAUCGAAUUUUUUCUCUCGUCAUCCUUCAUCCCCCCUGUUGAUCGUCGUGUUUUUUUCACCGUGGCCAACUGCGAACUCGUAACGCGUCACAGUCAAUCGCGCGAAUAAAGCAACCGAAGCGACGCAACUACCGUUUCGAUCGCGAAACGUAACCGAGCGAUCAUUUUCUUCUUUCAUUUUUUCCAUUAUAUUUCCAUUCGUCGUAACUUGCCUUUUCGAUUUCGCGAGAUACAAAAGGAAAAGCGUCGUUCGGCCUUGCCAAUCGAUUACGGUGGCUGCAGAAAUUUUCGAUCGAAUCAAAAGACUCUCGGAUACCGGAUAGAGAUUACGCAUGGCAUCGAAAACGUUUCGAAAUUUCGUUGGUCGAAUAGGAAACUCGACAGGUUCGAAUUUUGUUGCUCGUUUUCGUGCAACAAAGGUUAAAAGUAAAAAAGAGAAGAGGGAAUUAAGAAGAAACAAGUAGAACGUAGGUUCCAAGGUUGAUAUGUCCGAGGCACGAGCGAAAAGCAACGUUGUCAACGAAUCGAUAUCCGGAUGGGCGUGGCCUCGUCGAUCCUCGCGGAUGCUAUAACGUGGAAUCUCUCGAUGCAGAUGUUCUCGCUCGAAAAAUUUAGUCUUUUCGAAACUAGAUUCGAACCGGCUCCGAGUCGACUCGGCCGUUUCGCGAUCGACUCUCGUCGCGUCGUUGCGCGUUCCUGAACGGGAAAUUUAUUUUACCCUUGUCCGGCCGGUUUCCUUGCUUUUUUCACGCGUUCCCAAAGGGACUAGCCCGGUCCAUUAUCAGCGAAACGUUUCAAUUUCGAAAUCCAACCGCGUGGUCGGUCCAGCUUCCAUCGCGUUCUUUACUCUCGUUUGUCUCGAACAAAUGCCCCGUUAUUUCUCUCGGGCUACGAAUCGUUACCGCGUUUAUCUUUCUCCGACUCGCGUUUUCUUCAUUCUCCGUGUUCGCUAAUUGUUUUCUCACGUUUCCGGAAAGAAAUUCUCGUUCGUUACCUUCCACCGUUGUUCUUUAUUUCGUUUUGUUCACCGGUCGUUACGUGUAUGUACUUUAUCCGCUAUUCGACGAUAUUAAUGGGAAGCAAAGAAAUUUGCGUGGAAAGUCGAUUUGCAAAAAAGAUACGCGUGUAAAAAAGCUUUUCACCGUUUUAUUAAAAGAGAAAAAAAAGUCACGAUGAAACAAUACGGAAAAAUGUACGAUUUGGUAAAGAGAUUUUGAAAGGGAAUAAAAAAACGAACAAAGGUGUAUAAAAGGGUAAAAGAGAUUCGAGGAAAAAAUCUGGUCACGCUUGAGCGGCAGUGGGACGUUGGAGAAAGCGUCGCUGAAACGUCGGAAGGACAUUCGAAAGGGGCUAAAAGUCCACCCGGAGGAGAGAAGAAAAGUGGAAGGGAGGAGGGUAGUUGAAGGAAGGUCGUAGAGACGAGAGGAGAGCAGUUGGUUAGGGUAUGGGGCACAGUAUUGCGAGGAGAAGAGUAUUCGCAGCAUGUGGUCUCGUCAACCCCCUUACUCGCCUCUUUUCAUUCGGUUCCCCCUCUAGUGUCGUCCCUAUCUUUCAUCUACUACCUCAGCGCGCCGAUUUCGUAUUUUCAUUCUCGUCGCUCGACUCGAAUUUCCCCCCGGGCUCGAACUUGCUCCCUACCUCUUCAUCGUAAACGCUAAUUGCUCCAUACAAAUGUCCAAAAUCUACUUAACGUCUUCCUUUAACGCGAUACGAUGUACUUCCCUAUCUCUGUCCCUUCCGUUCCCCUUUCCUUUAUUGUCUCCGUUCUUUUUCUAGAAAUGUGAUCGCAAGUUUUCAAAUAACUCGCACUGCGUUUACCUUUUUACCUCCAAGAAUCUUCGACCUGUGAUUAAUCGCGACGCUAAAUAUUUGUGUCGAAAUUUAAAAAGAAAAUCUGGCACGUUAUCGUGUUGGUUUAGAAAAGGUAACGGGAAUCGUUAUAAUAGCCAUUCAAGAAGAAUAAAAGGAAAACAAUCGAAUCGAAUCGUAUUUGUAAUGGAGUAUUUCGACGAUUAAAAUUCAUCCGACAGAAACGAUGUACAAGUCGAUUUCUGAAUCAUAAUUGAAUCGAACGUUGAAAUUUGUUCGAUUGUAUAUGGCGCGUGCGAGCUCGCGUGUCCGUUACGCACGCGUUCGAAUACGGAGCGGAGACUAUCGUCGUUCCAUUGUCGUAAUUAGCCGGUGCGCGUUCGCGACGAUAGAGAGGGACAACGAGUAUCGGAUUGAAUAAUGGAAUGGAAAAACACGAUGCAUCGAUCGAAAUCGUGAACGCGACAGGUACCAAGAUCGGUAGUUACGUUACUGAACCACUACCCUCUAGCGGUUUGGUAAGUUGCUAGGAUACACCCCACGCUCGAAUCCCCCACGAUUCGGCUAUCGAUGCCCUUCUACUUAUCUACCACCGUGUUGUUUUCGAGAAGAACAGCAACCAGCACGAAACACGUACAAGCACACGGGGACAGAAAGAAACUCUUUUAGUGGUCUUUGCAUUUUUUACUCGGGACAGAAUAAACCUAUUCGACAAUAUGACUCGACGCGAAUAAGAAUGCUGCGAAUUACCAAUCAACUAAUUUAUACUGUUAUUCGAAAGACGACACGACCGUUAUUCAAGGAUAUCGCAACGAUUCGACACCUCGUUCGAACGACUCUAUCGAUAUAAAAUAUGCCUCGAAUCCAUUGUGUACAACGGAAAUCGACGAAACAACAGGUUUCCGCGUAGAAAGUACAAGACUAUAGAUAUUAAAAUUGUAUCGAGAAUCCGUGAUCGGCGUUGCCCAACGACGUUGAAAAUAUUUUCUCUCUUUCGGCGAACAAAUAAUAAGUAUUAUUCUCGUUCGAACGUAAAUGGCGCGCCGUGUGUUGACGAGUUAAAUUGCUCAUUGACGGUUUAUUGGUUUUCGUUCAAUUAGAAAAAUAUGGAAUCAAAACAUUCGGGGAAUUUGAUUUGCGAAUCUAAAUAUGCGAAGUAAAGUACAGAGCAUAGUAUUUACGAGUUAGUCGUGCUAUCCGUUUCAUUCAAACCAAAUAACUCGUCGCCGAGAGUGAGCUCGUAAUUGCUUUUACGCGAAUGCAAUUACGGAAGCUUAACGAUGACGCGACGCGCUUAAUUGCGUUUACGUUCGACCAGAAUAUCUGUGUAGUCGAAGGAGCAACGUACACAGGUA